AACGAACGCUGGUGGCGUGCUUAACACAUGCAAGUCGAACGAGAAAGUUUCCUUCGGGAAAUUAGUAAAGUGGCGCAAGGGUGAGUAUCACGUGAAUAAUCUGCCCUCGAGAUCGGGAUAACAUGGUGAAAACUAUGCUAAUACCGGAUAAGACCACAUUUCACAAGAAAUGCGGGAAAAGAAGUCUCAAUCUUUACUUGAGGAUGAGUUCGCGGACCAUUAGCUUGUUGGUGAGAUAAAAGCUCACCAAGGCUACGAUGGAUAGCCGGCCUGAGAGGGCGAUCGGCCACACUGGAACUGAGACACGGUCCAGACUCCUACGGGAGGCAGCAGUGGGGAAUAUUGCGCAAUGGGCGGAAGCCUGACGCAGCAACACCGUGUGAGCGAUG
RNAcentral lists this ribosomal RNA (389 nucleotides) under uncultured Nitrospina sp. Its description in RNAcentral is "bacterial SSU rRNA". It matches the Rfam family "Bacterial small subunit ribosomal RNA", at positions 29 to 410 of the family's 1533-position model. Lineage: Bacteria; Pseudomonadati; Nitrospinota; Nitrospinia; Nitrospinales; Nitrospinaceae. The record is from RNAcentral.